CGGGAUAGCAUCAUAUGCCUAGUUGUGGAAUAGGAUACCAUUGAAAUACUAGCUCAUAGAAUAUUACUCAAUCACGUGUUUACCAGAAACUACACAAACCAGCGAUGGAGACAGCUCAUCCCCAAACCCUCGACGCCAAACAGCUGGACGAGAGAGAGAAUCAUCGGCCGGCGACGAGAUGGUUAACGAGCGCCAGCGCAUUGCUGGUGAACUGCUUCACCCUCCCCACCCUGCCACAAACAUCAUCCCUCACCCCUCCGGCCGCCACCUUAUCGAACCCAUCCGUACACGUCUCCUCAUUCGUCAGCGCCGCACUCAUCCACGUCUGCGCAUUCCCAACCCUAAAUGCCACCUCCUCCCCUACCGCCUGCUUCAGUGCCGCUAGCUCCUUCGCCGCCCCACGCGUCCUAUCCAUCGCCUCCCUCAGCACCCCACUACAGUCCCUCACUGCAGCCAUCGUCCGCUGCUCUGCUACUCGUAUUGAAUCCACAUGGUCUAGGACGGCGCGGAUGCGGGAGAGGCUGACGUUGGAGGCGGCGCGGGCGAGUUGGACCGGGUCCUGUUGCACGGCGCUGGCAUAGCGGGCAAGGGAGCUGAAGCAGAGGUCAGGGUAGAGGGUGAAACUGCAGCUGGUGCGGACGAACUCGGUGGAGGCUGCCGAGGCUCCGGCUGAGGAGAUGGCGCCUGUCGCCGCCGUGACGGCGGUGAGGGAGAGGAAGAGGCAGAGCAGUUGCUUUCCAG
This 741-nucleotide unclassified non-coding RNA is filed under the name Hevea brasiliensis (rubber tree). Lineage: Eukaryota; Viridiplantae; Streptophyta; Magnoliopsida; Malpighiales; Euphorbiaceae. The record is from RNAcentral.